Molecule: ribosomal RNA, 119 nt
Filed under: Pteropus alecto (black flying fox)
Lineage: Eukaryota; Metazoa; Chordata; Mammalia; Chiroptera; Pteropodidae
Source: RNAcentral
GUCUAAGGCCAUGCUACCCAGAACAAGCCCGAUCCCGUCUGAUCCCGGAAGCUAAGCAGGGUCGGGCCUGGUUAGUACUUGGAUGGGAGACCACCUAGGAAGACCAGGUGCUGUAGGCA